GACGAACGCUGGCGGCGUGCUUAACACAUGCAAGUCGAACGGAAAGGCCCUGCUUUUGUGGGGUGCUCGAGUGGCGAACGGGUGAGUAACACGUGAGUAACUUGCCCUUGACUUUGGGAUAACUUCAGGAAACUGGGGCUAAUACCGGAUAGGAGCUCCUGCUGCAUGGUGGGGGUUGGAAAGUUUCGGCGGUUGGGGAUGGACUCGCGGCUUAUCAGCUUGUUGGUGGGGUAGUGGCUUACCAAGGCUUUGACGGGUAGCCGGCCUGAGAGGGUGACCGGCCACAGUGGGACUGAGCUACAGCACAGACUACUACGGAGGGCAGCAGUGGGGAAUAUUGCACGAUGGGCGGAAGCCUGAUGCAGCAACGCCGCGUGCGGGAUGACGGCCUUCGGGUUGUAGACCGCUUUCGCCUGUGACGAAGCGUGAGUGACGGUAAUGGGUAAAGAAGCACCGGCUAACUACGUG
RNAcentral lists this ribosomal RNA (468 nucleotides) under uncultured bacterium. RNAcentral's name for it is "partial 16S ribosomal RNA". It matches the Rfam family "Bacterial small subunit ribosomal RNA", at positions 28 to 507 of the family's 1533-position model. The record is from RNAcentral.